GACUGCUGGCCCUAGAUUUUCUCACAGCCAAUCCUGUUGUCUGAGAAGGUGUUAAUUGGAGGUAAACACUUUUGAUGCAAAGAUAGAAGUCACACACUCAGAAUGCAACAAAUUACCUAAUUGACUCAGAGUCCACAAUCUAGGUCUGUGAAUUUAUGGCUCAAGUCUAGGUAUUAGAAUCUUCUUCUACACCCCUGAAAACCAUCCUUUGGAUCCCUUAGAAGAUACAUCAGGACAGGCUCACAUCUCUAAAUCAUGGACAAUCUGAUACCCUGGGGAAGUGUUGACUCUACUGAGGGAAGAAAGAUAUUAGACAAUGAAGUAGCUACUGCACUUAAGAAACACAUUUCAGCAGUUUCCAGGAGAAGACGUAUAGGACUUGAUCCCAGGCUACCUUGAAGGAAUAAUGUGCAGCUAAUCAAUGAACAAAGAAACACCAGGCUUCCAGGUUGAUAUAGUUUGGCUCUACGUCCCCAUCCAAAUCUUAUGUUGAAUUGUAAUUCUCAGCGUUGAAGGAGGGACCUGUUGGAAGGUGAUUGGAUCAUGCAAGUGGAUUUCCCCAUUACUGUUCUCAUUAGAGUGAGUGAGCUCUCACGAGAUCUGGUUGUUUAAAAGUGCAUAGCACCGCCCCCUUCACUUUCUCUCCUGCUUUGGCCAUGUG
RNAcentral lists this long non-coding RNA (661 nucleotides) under Macaca mulatta (Rhesus monkey). Its description in RNAcentral is "lncRNA (ENSMMUG00000062915.1)". Lineage: Eukaryota; Metazoa; Chordata; Mammalia; Primates; Cercopithecidae. The record is from RNAcentral.